GACCCAGAAGCCAUGCAGGAGGGAAGAAGGUGCCACCGGAGGUGAAGGCUGGGAAUAGCUGGAAGGGCCCCUUGGUGCAAGGUAAUACUGAUCGUCCCACCAAAAAGGGCUGCAGGCACGCUGGCUCCCUGCCCUGGCGUGGACCAGGCACUUGAAUCUGAGAUACAGGAAGACUUUGGGAUCCUCUCUGACAUUCUGUUCUCUUUCUUGAUUGGCCUCAGCCUGACCACUUCCAGGCAGGAGAACUGCUGCUUUUCAAGGAAUUCUGCCCAAUCAUAGUCAUUAUUAAUGAUCCCUGCUGACAGUUUCCUUCUGUUCAAUGCUCACUGCAUGACAGGCCCUGGGUCAAGUGCGUAGUGUAAUCUCUGUGUAAUCCUUGUGUUGUCACAGUGAGCAGAGAAUUAUGCCCAUUUUAUUUUUAUUUUUUAAUUUUUUUUAAAGAGAGAGAGAGAGAGAG
This 457-nucleotide long non-coding RNA is filed under the name Marmota monax (woodchuck). Lineage: Eukaryota; Metazoa; Chordata; Mammalia; Rodentia; Sciuridae. The record is from RNAcentral.